AUACAUUUUUAUUUGUUUUUCUUAAGUUUUAAAAGCAUUAUUCUUUUUAUUGGACAAACCAACAAAGUUUGGGGUUUGAACAUAUAACCUCUACUCUUAACAGUUUAUUUGGGAGGAAGUUUUCGGACGUAAGGUUUGGCCUUUUAAAGUACCAUACUUCUUUUGGGAAGAAGGUUUUUCAAAGGAGGUGAGGUUUUUGGAAGUUUGAAAACUUUCAAAAUCCUUACUUUUUCUACCCACUCAACCCACCAAAAGCUUUUGAUAAUUUACUUUCCAUUACUUUACCUUUUCUUACUUAAGCUCAUAGGUUAGAUUUUAAUAAUUUAAGAGUCACAAUGAAAUAAAGCUCAUUAGUUAGAUUUUGGUACCUUCUAAUACUACAAUAAGGAACAUUGCUGUGUGGUCAAACGAAUUAAAAUCUAGGGUAAAUUACUAUCAGGUCCCUAUGGUUUGUCAAAAUUAACUACAUAGUCCCUAUUUUCCUAAAACCAAAUUAAAAAUUCCCGGUAUUUUAAAAAAUUAAACUCUUUUAGUCCUUCUAUCAAAGAAAAUAUUAAUCAACUUGCUUUAGCAUUGAAUAUUUAUAUUGUUUAGUCCUUAUAACUUUAACCAUUCUUACCAUU
Molecule: unclassified non-coding RNA, 623 nt
Filed under: Hevea brasiliensis (rubber tree)
Lineage: Eukaryota; Viridiplantae; Streptophyta; Magnoliopsida; Malpighiales; Euphorbiaceae
Source: RNAcentral